Molecule: long non-coding RNA, 5072 nt
Organism: Cygnus olor (mute swan)
Lineage: Eukaryota; Metazoa; Chordata; Aves; Anseriformes; Anatidae
Exons: 5
Source: RefSeq, a predicted model, not a curated record
UUGAAAAUGCGUUUCAGGAAAAAAAAGUCUUUCCGAUUGUGCUCAUUUUCAUUAUGGUUGGACAGAUUAUUAUGGUACUUGCUGAAGGGUGACUAAAUGAGUAUUUCAUUUCUUUUUUUUUUGCUCUUUGGAAGGGUAGUUAGAUGCACUCUUGUCUGCGACCACACAAGAUUCACUAAGUUUUUCUUCUGUAUCAGUGCAAAUAAAUACCUUCAAUUAUCCAUUCUCUUAAUGAAUGACUUCUCAAGCUUUAGCUGCCUGCAUUGUCAGAAAAAGUUCUGGUUCUUGCUGCUUUGUCGUUUUCUUUUGCUAUUCCAUCAGAACUAGUAGGGACCAAUGUAUUUCUUGUUUCUUGCACUGUUUAAAAGAGAAUGUAUCAAAACUAGGGCAGCUAUCAAAUAAAUGCUCUGUUACUGCAUAUGGCUGCUGGUUUAUAUAAAGCCAGCUCAGUAUUAGCAAAAAAAAAAAAAAAAUCAAACUAGCAAAUCUUAUUCAUGGUCUUAAAGGCAGUGGCCCCUGGUAAAUUUUAGCUAGGGGAACCAGGAAAGAGAAGAAACUCAGGAUCGUGGCUUGAAACCUGUAGAUGGAGGGCACAAUGAUCAUCAUGCAGCUGUAUAGAACUGAUGGUUAAUAACUCAGAUUUUACCAAUUGCUAUGAAAAAAACACAAACAAAAUGAAAACCACCACCAACAAAAAACUUUCAAGGGAAAUUACUGUCAAGACAGCAUUUUAUAGAGGAAGCAGCAAAAGCAUAGAGUUUAAAUGACUUGCAAGCAGCAACAUGGUAAACAUUGGUCCCCUGAGUCCUAUCAAUUGUCUGUUUGUUAUAUUAUUGACACUGCUGUGUCUUGUCUGGAGCUCUCCAAAGGCUUACCCCAGUGCAGGAAGCCAUGACAGUUAUUAGACUUAGGCCUGGUAAUGAAAAGCCCUUUUCAGAAGUGCAUCUCACACAGCUCUUUCCAUAACCACUUCCAACAAUGGUAAAGAGCCCUGGGGCUUUCUGCAUGCUCUGCAUGCAAUGCAGGCACUCCUUCAGCCUGUAAAUUACAAAAACUUGACAAGGUCUCCAGGAAAUGGGGUGGUGCAAAAGACCCUCCAUGUUGUGCUUUUUUGUUUCUAAGGCUAUGGUGCCUCUGCUCUCCUUUUGUCUACAUAGACAGAUGAGCUGUUCCAGAUCUACAUAAAAUGGGAGGUGACGUUAUGUGACACGUAUGUCAUUAUCUCAAUUGUUCUUUCUGUUCACUUAUGUUAGCUGUUUUUGCUGGAUCAGUGUGUGGAUGCUGUGGAACAAAGGCCUUUCUCUCCUGCCUCUAAAUGCAUAAAUAUGCAAACCCUUGUUAUUGAUCUGAAAGGAUGUGGUGAAAUUUGCACACUAGAUCUUACAUCCGACUUGAGUAAUAUCCAAAGCUUCCAUUUGUCCUUCAUAACAUUGUUUAUUCAGAUGCACAAUACCUGCCUUCGCUGUGCAAAGGAGAAAGAGGUCUGCUGAGAGCUCCAGUUCAACAGACAACCUCAAUAGUCACCUCUCUAUUUAGAAGUCCUGAAGUUGAACUGGCUUAAGUGCAACUACAUAUGGGCUAUACAGGUUUAAAAAAUAAUACUAAAAAAAGGUUGAGGUGUCUGAAUCAGAUGUCUGAAUCUAGGCAGAUGAGAUAAUUAAUUCCAAACCUGCAGUCUUAACUUCUUCCACUUCAAAGCUGGGGAAACACUGGAAGUGUUGUGAAGUAAACCAAUGCAUCUCCAGCACUGUGUCUCAAAAGCAUGAGUGUGAUUUCUGUGGGCAAGGGAGUAGGUGGGGAAUGGCUUUGUCCCUCCUGCCUGUAUUGGCUUUUAUACAAAGAUCACAUUUGUUGUCCAAUCCUUGGACAGCAAAACAGGGUUCUUUUUUCUCCUGUCCUGACUCCCCCCUGCAAUGCACACGUCAGCAUUAGCAACCAGGGUGCUCUCGUAGGAGAGAGGGGGUGUGGGCUGGAGCUGCUUCAGAGUGCCAAGGGACUGAUUUAGUUAAUUUUGAUUUACAGAAAAUCAGGCUUCUUUAAUUGAAAGUAUUCAAUUUCCUUUGUCCUAAUGUCUUUCCUUUCUUCAGACAACCACCAAAACAAAAUAGGUUCCAACAGAAAGCCAAAAGGAAAUAAUGAGUAGCAAAGUAUGCCUGAAUUCCCUUUCCCUCCCUGUUCCUGAAAUUUAGACACCCAGGUCAAGGUUGUAGGCUGAUGCUGACAUUGUUUUUUGACCCUCAAAUCCUGUCUUCAAAAUCAACAUGUGCAGAAGUUAUUUCAAGUAACUGAACAGGUUACCUUUGAGAAGGGUGUAGCUCUCCUGUAUAUAUGGUGUCAUCAGUGACCAUACUGGGCAAUGUGACAGCACAGUUUAUGGACCUUCAGGGUUUUCUUUGAUUGAUCUCUUCAGCUGAGAUGCAGAGAUUCCACUUAAAUAUUUAUUUGGAUACAUAUGUAAAUGCUUUCUUAGACAUAAUCGUUCCUGUUUGAUUUCAGCUAAGGAGAAGUGCCUGAUUUGUUUUAGUUUGUGAUGGUUGUAAAUUGGGAAAAAAUCAUGAUGCCCAGUGAAGCUAUAUUCAUAUAACACUACAGUAUUUCAUAUUUUACUUUACCCUAGUGUAAAUGUGGUUCUAAUGCUUAUUUCCUAACUCAUAGGGCUACUGAGAAAAUAAAUUCAUUAUUGUUUAUAGGUUGGUUAUGGUCCUCAAAUGGGAGGCAUUCAGAAUGGAAUGUUACUAUUUAAGAUAACCUUGACAUUUAAAAUUCAGCUGACAAUAUUUUGGCGUGUCAAAUAGGCAGUUAAUUUUGAAUAUAUGGAAAGUGUUCAGAGGCAUAUUCAAGUUUUUGCUUGAAUAACUUCUCUGACAUCUUUUCUCUGCACUGCAAUGGUGACCAUUUUCGAUACAUCAAAAAACUAAACAGUUUAGAGAAAUAAUCUAAAGAAUAACGUAUACACUAGUUCAAUGAAAAUGUGUUGGUCUUUAGACCCUCAGAGGACAAGAAAAUAAUGCCAAAACUGAACUCUUUCAGAAGACAAGAGCCAAAAUGUACCUGGAAGGAAAAAAAAAAUAAGAUUAAGAGACAAGUUCUGUAUAACUGAAGGGGUGAAAUUUGAUCAUGAACAGUUCUGUCAUAUUGAGCUUUCUGUUUGUAGCUUCAGAUGUGUAAGGAUUAUGGGAAGUGGAACUGACAUCUCUUUGCUUUAAUGGUAAGUGUGUGACAGAGAACGAAAUUUCAUGUUUGUAUAGCUUGUUAGAUUGAAGUUAUACUGGAGUCUGUUUUUUAUUCUUCCUUUGUUGCAUGACACUAGCUAAUCCUUAUGAUACAGAAGUACCCUGAAAGAAACCAUAAUCUGAUGGCCGAUAUCUGUGAAGACAUGUAACAGUGGAGUAAUUUUUCUGUUGGCUGAGAUGAAAACAAGGUAUUGUGACAUAAAUCAGAGGUGAUCGAUCCUUACCCUAUCAAACCCUUGGUCUGACAACUGGAAAUAAAUCUGUUGGUUGACACUGAGACUAUCCAGAGAGCUUACUUAAGUUGAUUAUCUGAUGUCCUUCUUCAUUGCCUUUUGCCUUGUGUUUCUCCUUAAAGUGUGGAAACUGCUGUGAAAUUUCAUCCAUUUUCUGCCAGUCUGAGCUGCUCAAGAGUGGGAUCAUUCAAGACAUCCGCAGAAUUGUUUGUCAUACAGCUACAGGUGAACUCGCAUUCUUAAAAAUAUAGCACACAUUAAUAAAUGACAGUUGUAAUGAAGUACAUUAUUGACUUUGCACUUAGUCAACUUAGGUGAUCGCUUCUGUUUUGCUUGCAAGAUAAUUCUGCAGUUGAACUUAAACAGCACAUUGUCAUAAUGUUUGAACAUUAGCUUUCCUUGCCAUGUAGUGAAUAUAGUUAUGUAGUGGAAUAAGGAUCAUGAAAUACGUCACAACUGUUAAGAAUGGGAUUGCAAGAAUGAAACUUUGGAAGAUAACUAGAAAUGGAACAGACUUAAGCAAAUGUCAGUUAUAUAAAAAUAGGCCUUUUGGUAUACAUUAAGAUGCUGAGCCAUAAUUUGCCAUGGAUCAGGUAGGUAUGCAAGUUUGCUACUCUUGCAAUACGACUGAUAAUUUCUUGUAGAGGGAUGUGACAGGAGCCUAGAUAAAUACAAAGGCUGUGCCAGCUCCUUGCUCCUAUGUCUGCUUCACAGGAGUCCUUAGCCCAGCCAAUACCAAUAGCACAGCUCUGCAUUCCUCAUGUGCUCAGAGCUCUUGGGAGAAACAGCACAGCGAGUGCUCAAGCAGUUCAGGAUGAGGUAUUGUUUUCAAAAUAUCAAGCAUAUGUCUUUUUUUUUUUUUCCUUUUUUUUUUCCUUUUUCUUCCCAUCUUUAGCUACAUAAAACUCAUUCCCACCUCUGCCCCCAAAAACCCGUCAAGAGAGGAUACAGAAUCCCUGUACCUUAGGCCCAGAUAAAUCUGGAUAUUCUGGGAAAAAAAAAAAAAUAAGUAUAGUGUUUCUCCAGUUGCAGCUAACUGCCAUAUGCUUCCUGAUCUGUAUUCUCAGUUUGAGAAAGUAUAAUGAAUGUGCUGAUAACAGAGAUCAAUAUUAUAGAUUAUUUAAAAAUGACUUUAUUUGCAUGCCAAUAGUGAUAUUAACACUUAGAUUGAGUGCUAGUGUACCCUUUCUUAGUUCUGUGAAAAUGAAAAUAUUUUGAGUAAAAAUAUGGUUGCAAAAUCCAUGGUUAUUUCUGUUACCAAGUUCAAAAGUAACAUAUACAAGGAUGCCAGUCCUUAUGUCCUCUUCAAAGACCAUAUAUACUGAAUGCUGACCAUUUUUUAACAAUAGUGCUUGUCUUGUGGUUGUUCUGAUGCAGUGAUCUGGAAAACAGUGGUAGAGGCAUAUAAAAGAAACAGGAAUAGGUUUGGAAAAAACAGCAAAUUUUACUCAUGUAGAGAUGAUCAAUAACCUGCUAUUUCAGGAGUCUGGGGAGCUCGGGGACAUGGAUUACAUCAAAAUCAAAGUUCAAUGCCAAUCUUUAUAAAAUUACAUCAUCUACUUUGUAAGUUAAAUCCACAACAGCAGAAACUCAAAGCAGUAGCUAA